GUAGGUGGCAAGCGUUGUCCGGAAUUAUUGGGCGUAAGGCGCGCGCAGGCGGUUCUUUAAGUCUGAUGUGAAAGCCCACGGCUCAACCGUGGAGGGUCAUUGGAAACUGGAGAACUUGAGUACAGAAGAGGAAAGCGGAGUUCCACGUGUAGCGGUGAAAUGCGUAGAGAUGUGGAGGAACACCAGUGGCGAAGGCGGCUUUCUGGUCUGUAACUGACGCUGAGGCGCGAAAGCGUGGGGAGCAAACAGGAUUAGAUACCCUGGUAGUCCACGCCGUAAACGAUGAGUGCUAAGUGUUAGGGGGUUUCCGCCCCCCUUAGUGCUGCAGCUAACGCAUUAAGCACUCCGCCUGGGAGUACGGCCGCAAGGCUG
Molecule: ribosomal RNA, 372 nt
Filed under: uncultured organism
Description: partial 16S ribosomal RNA
Rfam family: Bacterial small subunit ribosomal RNA
Source: RNAcentral